RNAcentral lists this non-coding RNA (404 nucleotides) under Oryza sativa Japonica Group (Japanese rice). Its description in RNAcentral is "Bacterial large subunit ribosomal RNA". It matches the Rfam family "Bacterial large subunit ribosomal RNA", at positions 150 to 555 of the family's 2925-position model. The record is from Rfam by way of RNAcentral. Lineage: Eukaryota; Viridiplantae; Streptophyta; Magnoliopsida; Poales; Poaceae.
AUACCAUUGCGGUCAAGUUAGCAAUGUAUAAUUUUUUCCUAAUGACCGAAAUACCCUUAGGACGAAAACUUCCAAAUUUUGGUCAAAAAUUCUGAAAUAUCAGAUUGUAAAACUUCCAAAGUUUGAGAUGGGAAACUUCUGUGCUAGUUAAUAAUAUGUUAUUUUGGAUCUUUUUUUUUUGCCAAGUUUAGUAAAUUUUUGUCCCAAGGAUGGAUAAAAUCCAGUAGCCGAAAGCAUCACUAGCUUACGCUCUAACCCCGAGUAGCAUGGGAAACGUGGAAUCCUGUGUGAACCAACAAGAGCCACCUUGCAAGGCUAAAUACUCCUGGGUGACCGAUAGCGAUGUAGUACGGUGAGGGAAAGGUGAAAAGAACCCCUAGUGGGUAGUGAAAUAGAACGUGAAA